CCCUUAGAUGUUCUGGGCCGCACGCGCGCUACACUGACGAAGUCAGCGAGCAUGUCCUACGCCGAUAGGUGCGGGGAAUCUUGUGAAACUUCGUCGUGCUGGGGAUUGAUUAUUGAAAUUAUUGAUCAUCAACGAGGAAUUCCUAGUAAGCGCAAGUCAGCAGCUUGCGUUGAUUACGUCCCUGCCCUUUGUACACGCCGCCCGUCGCUACUACCGAUUGAAUGGUUUAGUGAGAUCUUCGGAUUGGUGCCACCGAGUCCAGCAAUGGACACGGUGAAUAUCGAAAAGUCGAUCAAACUUGAUCAUUUAGAGGAAGUAAAAGUCGUAACA
RNAcentral lists this ribosomal RNA (330 nucleotides) under uncultured eukaryote. Its description in RNAcentral is "partial 18S ribosomal RNA". It matches the Rfam family "Eukaryotic small subunit ribosomal RNA", at positions 1470 to 1796 of the family's 1831-position model. The record is from RNAcentral.